Molecule: long non-coding RNA, 230 nt
Organism: Pelobates fuscus (common spadefoot toad)
Lineage: Eukaryota; Metazoa; Chordata; Amphibia; Anura; Pelobatidae
Exons: 3
Source: RefSeq, a predicted model, not a curated record
CUCAAACUAGGGAUUUAUCCUCGAGUAGGUGGACUAACAAGCAAAUAAUUGCCACAAGACAAGUUGGACGUACAGGAAACGUAGGUGGUGAGAACCCAGCUCAGAAGAACUUACAUUCUAUAUGAUGCUUAAAUAGGUGGAUUAACAAACAAAUAGCUGCAACAAAACAAGAAGGUGGAACAGACAGGAACAGAAGGUGGUGAGGACCCAGCUCAAAAACGCUUACAUUU